Tachyglossus aculeatus (Australian echidna) is the source of this 138-nucleotide small nucleolar RNA. The record is from RefSeq and is a predicted model, not a curated record. Lineage: Eukaryota; Metazoa; Chordata; Mammalia; Monotremata; Tachyglossidae.
CUCCCCUCAGGAUGGCAUCUGGAGAGUUUCCAGUACUCUACCAGUCUCGAUUACGGGAGGGAGAGUAAAGCAGAGGCCUGUCCAUUACAUUCCUAGCUUGGGCAGUGGCUAGUGAGUGGAAGGUAACCUGCUACAAGU